CAGAGAUGAAGGACGGCUGCCGGUAGUUCCUUCGGGAACAGCUGAGGAAGCUCCAACCUCCUUUAGGCAGCGGUACGGCGAGAGCCGUAGAAUGAGAAUUCUGCUCUGGGAACAGCAACGACACGCCCAACGCUGGUAUGACGAUGAUGCAGUCGGGGACUAUUAGUCUCAGCGACGUGUUGGCAACAAGACGUUUGAUAACCUGUUGAGGACGGCGUUGGAACCGAUGAAACGGCCUAUCACCGUGGGAGCAAGCCCAAAUAGGUCGCUGAUGAGGCGCCUUCCGAAGCGACGGGUAGGGUGCGUAGCUAGAUGCCGUCAAGCUCCCCAAGGCAACUUGGGUGGUAGAACAGAAGAUGGGCUACUCUCAUCACUG
This 376-nucleotide RNase P RNA is filed under the name Candidatus Hermodarchaeota archaeon. Its description in RNAcentral is "RNase P RNA component". It matches the Rfam family "Archaeal RNase P". From Rfam's summary of the family: Ribonuclease P (RNase P) is a ubiquitous endoribonuclease, found in archaea, bacteria and eukarya as well as chloroplasts and mitochondria. Its best characterised activity is the generation of mature 5'-ends of tRNAs by cleaving the 5'-leader elements of precursor-tRNAs. Cellular RNase Ps are ribonucleoproteins. Lineage: Archaea; Promethearchaeati; Candidatus Hermodarchaeota. The record is from RNAcentral.